This 253-nucleotide ribosomal RNA is filed under the name uncultured bacterium. Its description in RNAcentral is "partial 16S ribosomal RNA". It matches the Rfam family "Bacterial small subunit ribosomal RNA", at positions 524 to 776 of the family's 1533-position model. The record is from RNAcentral.
UACGUAGGUGACAAGCGUUGUCCGGAUUUACUGGGCGUAAAGAGCGCGCAGGCGGUCGAUCAAGUCGAGUGUGAAAGCCCCCGGCUCAACUGGGGAGGGUCAUUCGAUACUGAUCGACUCGAAGGCAGGAGAGGGUAGUGGAAUUCCCGGUGUAGUGGUGAAAUGCGUAGAGAUGCGGAGGAACACCAGUGGCGAAAGCGACUUUCUGGUCCUUAACUGACGCUGAGGCGCGAAAGCAUGGGGAGCGAACGGG